This 1364-nucleotide ribosomal RNA is filed under the name Lactiplantibacillus plantarum. Its description in RNAcentral is "bacterial SSU rRNA". It matches the Rfam family "Bacterial small subunit ribosomal RNA", at positions 31 to 1361 of the family's 1533-position model. Lineage: Bacteria; Bacillati; Bacillota; Bacilli; Lactobacillales; Lactobacillaceae. The record is from RNAcentral.
CGACGCUGGCGGCGUGCCUAAUACAUGCAAGUCGAACGAACUCUGGUAUUGAUUGGUGCUUGCAUCAUGAUUUACAUUUGAGUGAGUGGCGAACUGGUGAGUAACACGUGGGAAACCUGCCCAGAAGCGGGGGAUAACACCUGGAAACAGAUGCUAAUACCGCAUAACAACUUGGACCGCAUGGUCCGAGUUUGAAAGAUGGCUUCGGCUAUCACUUUUGGAUGGUCCCGCGGCGUAUUAGCUAGAUGGUGGGGUAACGGCUCACCAUGGCAAUGAUACGUAGCCGACCUGAGAGGGUAAUCGGCCACAUUGGGACUGAGACACGGCCCAAACUCCUACGGGAGGCAGCAGUAGGGAAUCUUCCACAAUGGACGAAAGUCUGAUGGAGCAACGCCGCGUGAGUGAAGAAGGGUUUCGGCUCGUAAAACUCUGUUGUUAAAGAAGAACAUAUCUGAGAGUAACUGUUCAGGUAUUGACGGUAUUUAACCAGAAAGCCACGGCUAACUACGUGCCAGCAGCCGCGGUAAUACGUAGGUGGCAAGCGUUGUCCGGAUUUAUUGGGCGUAAAGCGAGCGCAGGCGGUUUUUUAAGUCUGAUGUGAAAGCCUUCGGCUCAACCGAAGAAGUGCAUCGGAAACUGGGAAACUUGAGUGCAGAAGAGGACAGUGGAACUCCAUGUGUAGCGGUGAAAUGCGUAGAUAUAUGGAAGAACACCAGUGGCGAAGGCGGCUGUCUGGUCUGUAACUGACGCUGAGGCUCGAAAGUAUGGGUAGCAAACAGGAUUAGAUACCCUGGUAGUCCAUACCGUAAACGAUGAAUGCUAAGUGUUGGAGGGUUUCCGCCCUUCAGUGCUGCAGCUAACGCAUUAAGCAUUCCGCCUGGGGAGUACGGCCGCAAGGCUGAAACUCAAAGGAAUUGACGGGGGCCCGCACAAGCGGUGGAGCAUGUGGUUUAAUUCGAAGCUACGCGAAGAACCUUACCAGGUCUUGACAUACUAUGCAAAUCUAAGAGAUUAGACGUUCCCUUCGGGGACAUGGAUACAGGUGGUGCAUGGUUGUCGUCAGCUCGUGUCGUGAGAUGUUGGGUUAAGUCCCGCAACGAGCGCAACCCUUAUUAUCAGUUGCCAGCAUUAAGUUGGGCACUCUGGUGAGACUGCCGGUGACAAACCGGAGGAAGGUGGGGAUGACGUCAAAUCAUCAUGCCCCUUAUGACCUGGGCUACACACGUGCUACAAUGGAUGGUACAACGAGUUGCGAACUCGCGAGAGUAAGCUAAUCUCUUAAAGCCAUUCUCAGUUCGGAUUGUAGGCUGCAACUCGCCUACAUGAAGUCGGAAUCGCUAGUAAUCGCGGAUCAGCAUGCCGCG